AGGAGAUGGAGGAAGGGAUUGGCUUAGAUGACUGGUAAGAUCCCUCCCAAGUUACAAAUUCUGUGUGUCCUAUGAGAGGUAGACAUGUCAAAGGAAAAAAAAAGCUAAACAAAUAAAAAGAAAACACCGAAUAAGCUGCAAAUGGUGGAGAGGAGGAGAAAAAUGAUCAUCUCUUGAGUGUUUACUAUGAGCCAGAUGAACCCUCCUGGUAACCUUAACAGACUCUCAGACAAGAAGUUUGAUAUGAUUCAUAUGAAGCUCGAAAUUACAUUAAAGAAUCCCGUUUGCCACAGCAAGAUGCUCACACCACGAGGGCUCACAGGAACUGGAACCGGAACUGACUAAGAGAAGAACAAAUCCAUAUCUCUCAUCUGCUCUCUCCUGGGACUGCUCCCAGUGGGAGCAAAACUAAGAAUUUUAUCCACACUA
Molecule: long non-coding RNA, 429 nt
Organism: Leptonychotes weddellii (Weddell seal)
Lineage: Eukaryota; Metazoa; Chordata; Mammalia; Carnivora; Phocidae
Source: RefSeq, a predicted model, not a curated record